This 392-nucleotide ribosomal RNA is filed under the name uncultured bacterium. RNAcentral's name for it is "partial 16S ribosomal RNA". It matches the Rfam family "Bacterial small subunit ribosomal RNA", at positions 523 to 918 of the family's 1533-position model. The record is from RNAcentral.
ACACGUAGGGGCCUGACGUUGUUCGGAAUCAUUGGGCGGAAAGGGCGCGCAGGCGGCCGUCCAAGUCCGGUGUUAAAUGGUCGGGCUCAACCCGAACAUGCGCUGGAAACUGGGCGGCUGGAGUCCCGGAGGGGAUGCCGGAAUUCCAGGGGUAUGUGGGAAAUCUGUAGAUAUCUGGAAGAACAACGAUGGCGAAGGCAGGCAUCUGGCCGGAGACUGACGCUGAGGCGCGAAGGCGCGGGGAGCGAACAGGUUUAGAUACCCUGGUAGUCCGCGCAGUAAACGAUGCGCACCAGGUGUCGGGCGGCAGCGCCCGGUACCGGAGCAAACGCGAUGAGUGCGCCGCCUGGGGAGUAUGCCCGCAAGGGUGAAACUCAAAUGAAUUGACGGGG